AGUGAACGCUGGCGGUAGGCCUAACACAUGCAAGUCGAACGGCAGCACAGUAAGAGCUUGCUCUUACGGGUGGCGAGUGGCGGACGGGUGAGGAAUACAUCGGAAUCUACUUUUUCGUGAGGGAUAACGUAGGGAAACUUACGCUAAUACCGCAUACGACCUACGGGUGAAAGCAGGGGAUCUUCGGACCUUGCGCGAUUGAAUGAGCCGAUGUCGGAUUAGCUAGUUGGCGGGGUAAAGGCCCACCAAGGCGACGAUCCGUAGCUGGUCUGAGAGGAUGAUCAGCCACACUGGAACUGAGACACGGUCCAGACUCCUACGGGAGGCAGCAGUGGGGAAUAUUGGACAAUGGGCGCAAGCCUGAUCCAGCCGUACCGCGUGGGUGAAGAAGGCCUUCGGGUUGUAAAGCCCUUUUGUUGGGAAAGAAAAGCAGCAGGUUAAUACCCCGCUGUUCUGACGGUACCCAAAGAAUAAGCACCGGCUAACUUCGUG
This 492-nucleotide ribosomal RNA is filed under the name uncultured bacterium. Its description in RNAcentral is "partial 16S ribosomal RNA". It matches the Rfam family "Bacterial small subunit ribosomal RNA", at positions 29 to 507 of the family's 1533-position model. The record is from RNAcentral.